GGCAGUCUUCCUAGAUAAUUUUCAAUGGCCAGAAUGUGAAUGUAUUGACGAGUGAGAGAAGAAAUGUUGUGGCGUCUGUUGUGACAGGUAUAUUGUUUUUUACAGGCUGGUGGAUAAUGACGCAGCAGUGGUGUAUUGUAGGCCAGAACAGUUGAACCAUGCCUUUCACACAUGUGGUGUAUUUCCCACAUUGGCUUUCUUCAUGAUAAAUGCUGUAUCCAAUGCUCAGGUGAGAGGUGAUAGCUAUGAAAGUGGCUGUUUAGGAAGAACAGGUCCUUGAGUUUGGCUUUUCGUUGGUUUCAUGUUGAUGUUUGGGGUACUUAUUGCUUCCAUGUGGAUUCUUUUUGGUGCAUAUGUUACCCAACCACUCUGAUCUACAAAUUUGGAAGAACUGAAGAGCUGUGGACCU
Molecule: long non-coding RNA, 409 nt
Filed under: Homo sapiens (human)
Lineage: Eukaryota; Metazoa; Chordata; Mammalia; Primates; Hominidae
Description: non-protein coding lnc-ZNF836-1:13
Source: RNAcentral